RNAcentral lists this ribosomal RNA (735 nucleotides) under Triticum aestivum (bread wheat). RNAcentral describes it as "partial small subunit ribosomal RNA". The record is from RNAcentral. Lineage: Eukaryota; Viridiplantae; Streptophyta; Magnoliopsida; Poales; Poaceae.
GUUGGCUUCUCUCGGAAGAUUGGCAAUGGCAAUAGGGUUAGAUUCUGGGAGGACCAUUGGUUUGGUAAUGCCACUCUGGCUACCCAGUAUUGGGACCUGUAUGUUCUGAAUAAUGAGCAAAAUGCCUCCAUUGAUAAGAUCUGGGACGACAGUAACCUUAAGCUCACAUUCCGGAGAUGUUUCACCCAGGAGCUUAUGUCUCUGUGGUUCGAACUAUUGGAAAUUGCCAGUUCUAUCCACCUCACAUUAGAAGAGGACUCCCCUGUUUGGAAUAUGAAUUCCAAAGGGGUUUACUCUGUUAAAUCCUUUUAUAAGUUUGUCAAUUUCAGGGGAGUGUUGCCUGUUAGUUCUCCUGCCAUUUGGAAGAUCAAAAUUCCACCUAGAAUUCAGAUCUUUCUAUGGCUCUUAACUAACAACAAGCUAUUAACCAGAGAUAACCUGUCCAAAAGGCAGGAUGUAGGUGAUACUACUUGUGUAUUUUGCUCUGAACAAGAAACUUGUUCUCAUUUAUUCAGUACAUGUGUUGUUGCUGCUGAAUUCUGGAAAGCCAUUUGUGUCCUAACUGGGAUUAAUGAAGACGUUAAUAUAACGACCAUCUCCCAGUACUGGAUCAGAGGAGAUAGUUUUCCUGUGACUAAUAUUGUCCAUGGAGCUGGACUGUGGGCUAUCUGGAAAACUCGCAAUGACAUGGUUUUCAACAAUGUUUGUUGGUCUGGCUUGCAGGUUAUCUGGUGA